CACGGUGAGCCUGGAGCUGGCUAGGUGCCUCAUCGAAUCCUCCCCAAAACCCAAUGAGGACAUGCUUUCUACAACUCUCUCUAUUCGGAAGGGAUCACAGGGUGCCCACCUCGUGCAUGAUCUGCUGUCCUGAACACCGUGUGCCAGAGCGGAGUGAAAAUCCCAGCCACACUCUUCCCAUAAAGGGUAAUUCUUUCUACUCCUUCCUGACCACUUUAGUUUCACAGCCUCUGUGGAUUAGUAACGUUUAUUCUCUGCAGCUCUGGAGGGAACACCUCCUUCCCCAAGGCUCUGGCUGGGCUCUCACGCAAUCUCACGUAUCCCACCUUAAUAAUUAUCCGAAAGAAGAGCACGUAUUCAAUUCUAAGAUUAGGAUCCAGCAGACAAGGAUUUCGAAGAGAGGAGUAAGCCUAAUGAAGGCAGAGAGUGGAUUAGAAGGAAAUGUGAGGUGGAGAAACUUCUCGUCAAACAAAACCGCGCCUCUUGGGUGGGUUCCCGGGUGCAACCUCUCUGGAGGGCCAUCUGGUGAGAUGUAGCAACUGCAACUAAAAGUGCAUAACUUUAGGCCCCAAAUUCCACUUAAAGGAAUUUAUCCCAAGGAAGUAGUAAGAAAAAUAUGCAAAGAUGGAUCUCUAGGAGUUUUUAGAGGGGAAAAGAAGUAUAAAACCUUGUUUUAUACUUAAAACACCUGUUGGUGGGACAGCUAAGACCGCUGUCUUCUGCUCUGACACCAGUCUGUUCUUCAGAUGAGGAAACAGAGGCACAGAGAGCUUAAGCAAAUUGCCUGAGGUCACACAGCAGAGCUGGAUUUGAUGCGGGGAAGUGACUCCAGAGCUCGCCGUUGCCCAGUCGGCUCUGCCACCUCGGGCCUCAAGAGGAGAGGAGAAUGUCUUUCUGGGAGUAAUGUGGAGAUUUCUCUGGGAGGCAAGAGGAUGGCGUGGGACUCACAGGUCUGGAGUGUGGAGUCCUGGGGCCGACGCCUUGGGCUGAGAACACCAGGCUCGGGUGGGAGGAUGUGGUGGCCGAGGGCGCUGACUGUCCCCAGGCGACCAGGGUAGAGCCAAUUCUGCCAUCCCCCACCCCCGCUCAGGGUGGGGAUUGUGUCCUUUGCUGCACCCUCCCACCCCCAGCCAGCAGCCCAGCCCCCAGCCUCCUGAACCCACGAGACCCCCCCAAGAUAGACUGGAGGGAAAGCCCAACUUCAUCAGUGGAGUCAGGUGAAAUCCGCUUGUAAAUAAGUCAAUCAGAAACCAAAAGGUUGCGUCCCAGCAUGACCGGGAACUGUCACCGUCAGCGGCGUGGAAAUGAUGGAGACGAGAGGGACAGUGCCUGUCAAGAGAUGAGCAAGAUCAGUCGUCCACUGUGCGGUUCUCCUACUGCUAUGCGAGGCAGCGAGGCACAAAAUCGGCGCCUGCUGUGUGCGCAUGUGUGCAGGGUCUCAGAGCCAAGCGCCCAGACAGGCCUGGCAAGUCACAAAGGAGUGAGGAAGGCUCGACCCCACCAGCUGACAGCCAGCAGGCCCUGAGGGAGGACCACCUGCCAGACUCGUUCCAGCAGGUUCUGGAUAUGGACUCAGCCAAUCCCCCAGCCCUGUCGGGACUCAGGUCAAUGUCCCUCCUGGUCCCUGAGUCCCCAUCCAAGCCCCCACACCCGUCACUCCCUCCCUGCAGCCUGGUUAGCUGCCUUCCCAGCGCCUCUCACCUCAGGAAAUCCUCUCGAGCGUCGCUGGAGUGAUUUCUUGCUCAUCGUCUGUCUCCGGCCACAAGUGCAGGGUCUGUAGGGGCAGGAUGGGGACCACGGCCGCACCCCCAGAGCCUGGAGCUGUGCCUGGCACAGAGCACGUGCUUAACAGAGCCCGUUGGAUGAAUGCCACACGUUGGCCGCUGGAGGAUGCUGGAAGAAAUCUCCAAGAUCGCCCUCUGACCUGCUCACUUGACAGAGGACAUGGUGGGAGGUGGGGGGCUCCAGAACUGUGCCCCUGACCACCUGGCUGCACUGCCACACGGCACACAUCAUGGACACACAGGACACGGAUUGCCAAGGAGCCCAUUGACUUUCUAGCAAGAGCGAAGCCGUCUGUGCGCAAGACUCAGUCUGAGGAGUGAUGGGCCACAGGCUGCAGUGGAAUAAACUGGGAAGCUCUGCUCCCCUUGUCACAUCCUGAGCUCAAACCAGACAGGGUCCUUAGGAGGUGACAGCCGACAGCGUUAAAGAAAGUGUCAGCGGUUGCUGUGGGAAGAUGUUCCCCCAGGAGAGGAAGCUGGGGAGCCAGCACCCACAAUCUUGGUGGAGUCUCUUUCUAGAACCUGCUUGCGUCUCUCAGCCACCUGUCACACAGAGCUGCCUGGAGACCAAGUGACGUGGGUGAGGCUUCAUUCCGGGCACAGCUGGUGUGGUAGGACCCUCGGGGCCAGAGUCUGGGAUGCGGGUCCCAGGCCUGGCGCUCCGGCCUCUCGGCUGGGUGACCUCUGGAGAGUCUCCCAGCCUGACAGGUCUCUGUUCUCCUCAUCUUUGCAACGAGCAGAAUGAGCCUCUCCCGCCACCUCCCAGGGCUGUUGGGGGUCACCUCCACUGAUGGAUGCCAGGACACGCUGGCAGCGUGUGUGGUUGCUCUCUGCCUGCAAAUUAUUCCAAAAUCUGGUGCCGGGUUUCCAGCCCAUGACGUGUUUUCAUGUCUGUUUCUAGUCCAUAUUGCAAAGGUAGUUUCCUCUGCAGCCAGCACAGGUACGUUACUAUUUAUUAAACUCUGCACGUUAUUGAGAUUUUACUAGUUUUCUCUCGUGUCCUUUUUCCGUUCUACACUCCCAUUCAGGACACCAAAUUAUCUACACUGUGUGUUUCAAACAUUUUUGGACAUAACCCAAAGUUAAAAGUGCAUUUUAC
This 2883-nucleotide long non-coding RNA is filed under the name Equus caballus (horse). RNAcentral describes it as "lncRNA (ENSECAG00000046935.1)". The record is from RNAcentral. Lineage: Eukaryota; Metazoa; Chordata; Mammalia; Perissodactyla; Equidae.